This 253-nucleotide ribosomal RNA is filed under the name uncultured bacterium. RNAcentral describes it as "partial 16S ribosomal RNA". It matches the Rfam family "Bacterial small subunit ribosomal RNA", at positions 524 to 776 of the family's 1533-position model. The record is from RNAcentral.
UACAGAGGGUGCAAGCGUUAAUCGGAAUUACUGGGCGUAAAGCGUGCGUAGUCGGUUAUUUAAGUCGGGUGUGAAAGCCCCGGGCUCAACCUGGGAAUUGCAUUCGAUACUGGAUAGCUAGAGUUCGGCAGAGGGAAGCGGAAUUUCCGGUGUAGCGGUGAAAUGCGUAGAUAUCGGAAGGAACACCAGUGGCGAAGGCGACCUUCUGGACAGAUACUGACACUGAGGCACGAAAGCAUGGGUAGCAAACAGG